GCCCUUUUCGUCUAAUGGUUAGGACAUUGCAUUUUCUCUGCAAAUAUAUGAGUUCAAAUCUCAUAAAGGGUA
RNAcentral lists this transfer RNA (72 nucleotides) under Paravannella minima. RNAcentral describes it as "tRNA-Glu". It matches the Rfam family "tRNA". Rfam says of the family: Transfer RNA (tRNA) molecules are approximately 80 nucleotides in length. Their secondary structure includes four short double-helical elements and three loops (D, anti-codon, and T loops). Further hydrogen bonds mediate the characteristic L-shaped molecular structure. tRNAs have two regions of fundamental functional importance: the anti-codon, which is responsible for specific mRNA codon recognition, and the 3' end, to which the tRNAs corresponding amino acid is attached (by aminoacyl-tRNA synthetases). tRNAs cope with the degeneracy of the genetic code in two manners: having more than one tRNA (with a specific anti-codon) for a particular amino acid; and 'wobble' base-pairing, i.e. permitting non-standard base-pairing at the 3rd anti-codon position. Lineage: Eukaryota; Discosea; Flabellinia; Vannellidae. The record is from RNAcentral.